This 3063-nucleotide long non-coding RNA is filed under the name Mus musculus (house mouse). RNAcentral's name for it is "long non-coding RNA chr1:43488446-43491509". The record is from RNAcentral. Lineage: Eukaryota; Metazoa; Chordata; Mammalia; Rodentia; Muridae.
GUGCGGUGAUGACAUGGAACUAUGUGUUACAGCCACUGGACCCUGCAGUUGGCCUGUGGAACUUGCUGGUCUUCCUCGAGUGCUUCUUCCAGGGGUUUUCUGUUUCAUUGUUUGUUUUCUUUCAGUGCUAUUUAUCCACUUCUAGUUUCACUCCUGUUCUUCAUUCUUAAACAAACUUGGCCAUCAGCCGUUGUAAUUCAGUGCUCACUCCUUUAAAUUGAAAGCCAUCUGUACUAAUUCUGUUGUUUAUGACAAGAUUAUCAUCGGCAGGGAAGGAAAUCUUUGAUUUGCUGGUUUGUGCCAGUGUGUGUCUGUUUUUUCCAGUUAUAGUCAUUGUUUUAGAAUUCUAAGUGGAUAUAGGCCCUUUGUUAUUUAGAAUAUGCUAUGAAUUAUUAUUACAAUAAUACUAAGAAGGAGUCUAGCUUCCUCUUCCUCUCGACAGUGAGAGGCCGGGCGCCUCGUAAGCAUUCAUGUAAGGGGGAAUACUUGUUUCUUUGGAUCCCUAAUAAGGGAGCUCUUUCCAGCUGAGAAAAUAUUGAAUCUUAAUGAUGGCAAUGAUUCUCUUGCAAGAUGAAGUCCUAACAGGGGCAGUAAAACAUGGUGAGACUCAACUGGUGGUGUGAAGCUUGAGUUACUGGUCACAGUUUGUCUAUGAGGACCCACCUUGCAAUUUGGGAUUCUCAAAGGUGGUUUUCUCUAAAUCACACUCACUCACCUUCCUUCCUUCCUUCCUUCCUUCCUUCCUUCCUUCCUUCCUUCCUUCCUUCCUUCCUUCCUUCUUCCCUUCCUUCCCCUAGUCUGUCAUCCUCCUCCUCGUUCUCCUUCUUUGAACAUAUACUUCUUUGUUUAUUAUGUGUGUGUGUCCAUGUACCAUGUGUGCACAUGACAGUCAGAGGACAGACAGCUUGUAACUGUCAGUUCUCUCUUUAUACCAUGGAGGUCCCAGGGUUCCUUGGGUUGUCAGGUCUGGUGGCAGCACUUUUUUUUUGCUCAUGGAUUCAUCUCACCAGCCCAUACAGAAGGUCUUUUAAAACACCAUCUGCUAACCACCUACACACAUCUAGUUUUGGAAGUGGUCCCUGGUAAUUUGCAUUUCUGAAAUCUCCCUAGGUGAUGAAGGGGCUGAAAAGUCAUAGCAUUGCUUUCCCCUCAUACACAGAAGUACAGAGUAGAUCAGCAGAUCUGUAAUAAAAUUCUACAAUGAGCCCUGAGUCAAGCCUUCACCUUGGAGGAGGGGAGGAUAAAAAUGAGGGUGGAACAGGUAUGUAUGGCUCAUGUAUUGUCUGCUAGGGAGCAGAAUCUACUUUUUUACAUUCUAUACAUUCUGACAUUCUGACCGACUCCCCUGUGUAGAAUGCUGUUUUCUAUUUGUAGGACUGGAAGUGUUAAAAGUUGAUUUGUGAGCCCCAAAUUCAGUAAACCAUUUCUCCUCCCUUAAAGCUCAAUGUAGACUUGAGCAUGUGGGCCUGUCAUUUAAGGAACUGUUCUUGAGAUAGACCUUGAAACACACGGCCCUAAGCCCUAAAUGUGAUGUCUCAUUCCUCCCCUCGGGGCUCAGAGAACCUUGUAGAAGAGGCAGCUAAUCCUAACCUUAACCUUGAGUAUAAGAGCCAGACAGGAUGGAGGACACCAGGGCAUCAAGGCCCUCUAAUUCAACCAGAUCAACACACAUGAACUCAGUCUGAGGCAGUAUGCACAGGGCCUGCGUGGUCUGCACCAGAUGUGGUCUUAGGGCUGAAAGGAGAAGUAGAUUCAAGCUCCUAUUCUUUUUUUAUUAGAUAUUUUCUUUAUUUACAUUUCAAAUGCUAUCCCCUUUCCUAGUUUCCCCUCCGAAAACCUCCCUAUCUCACCCCCCCUCCGCCACUCCUGCUCCCCAACCCACCCACUCCUGCUUCCUGGCCCUGGCAUUCCCCUACACUGGGGCAUAGAACCUUCACAGGACCAAGGGUCUCUCCUCCCAUUGAUGACCGACUAGGCCAUCCUUUGCUACAUAUGCAGCUAGAGCCAUGAGUCCUUCUGUGUGUUUUCUUUGGUUGGUGGUUUAGUCCCAGGGAGCUCUGGGGGUACUGGUGAGUUCAUAUUGUUGUUCCUACUCUGGGGCUGCAAACCCCUUCAGCUCCUUGGGUCCGUUCUCUAGCUCCUUCAUUGGGGAUCCUGUCCAAUGGAUGGCCAUGUCAGGCUCCUAUUCUUAACCCAGUAGCUAUUUCCAAGAGUUAACAAAAUAGAUUCCCAAAGAAAACUUAGUGUUCUCCAAGGGAAUCUCACUGGGGAAACAAAUUAUUCUUAAUUACAGGCCAGAUGCCCUGCAACAGAUAGCCAACGGAAAGCAAAAUGAACUCAGUGGCGUCUGUGGAGGUCCCCUGUCCCAUAAUGCACUGUUAGGGCAUAUAUAUAUAUAUAUAUAUAUAUAGUGUGUGUGUGUGUGUGUUCUAGUUUUACCCUACAGGUCCUUUGCAGAUCUAUUAUAGCUUCCAGGUUAGUGGGUUUUUAAUGGUAUUCUUUAAUGUAUGAAUGAGUGGAUCUCUUUGUUUUUUGUGCCCAUUGGGGGGCUUUUUUUUCCCUUCUGUUUGUUUAUCUUGUCCUAUUCUGAUGGCUUAGUUUCUGUCCUCUCUUAUUUUACUUUAUUGUUAUCCCUUAGAACGGUCGGUGGCUCUCAACCUUUCUAACGUUGCCACCUUUUACUUCAGUUCCUCAUGUUGCAGUGACCCCCCAACCAUAGCACCAUUUUUGUUGCUACUUCCUAACUGUAAUUUUGCUACUGCUAUGAAUCACAGUGUAAACAUCUGAUUUUCAGGAUGGUCUCAGGCAACCCCUGUGAAAGGGGCAAUCAACCUCUCCUGGGGUCUCGACCCACAGACUGAGAACCACUGCCUUCGAAGCUUGAUUUCUAGUUUUCUAAUGAGAGCAUGGAAGGGGAUCUAAGUAGGAGGGAGGGAGGGAGGGAGGAACUAGAAGCCAGAGGGAGCGGAAACCAUAAUCAAGAUAUAUCAUGUAGAAGAAAAAAAAAUGUAUUUUUAAUUAAAGGAAAAGAAAGGGAAUUUAGGCAAUAAAACCAUUAGAAAG